Molecule: ribosomal RNA, 393 nt
Filed under: Triticum aestivum (bread wheat)
Lineage: Eukaryota; Viridiplantae; Streptophyta; Magnoliopsida; Poales; Poaceae
Description: partial small subunit ribosomal RNA
Source: RNAcentral
AUGUGUGCACCUGAUCUUUGUGUCCUCAAGAGUGCUGUGUCAGGUUAUAAAGGUUAUAACUUGGGGGCAAUAGUUGAACGUAGGUUGCAGAAUAAUAGUAGAAGGGGAGAUUUCUUUGGAGGAAUUUAUGCAACCCGUGUGGCUAAUUUUCUUAAUAUAGCUCCACGAGAGGGGGAUAUGAUUGUACCUCCUAUUUAUUUGGAUAAAGAAGCUAUGUUUGAUCAUCAUUUUCUUGAGAGGAAUGAACAAUUCCUCCAUUAUCGACUAAUCUAUGACAGACGCAACAUCGUCCCUGUUACUCUUCCAGCUCCAACCUUUUUGAUUAUCAGGCAAAAGGAAGAUAUGCUGUCACCAGGGAAGAAGCAACUGAAUAUGAGAGGGGAAUGGAGGUAG